ACCACUUUGGUAUUUGAAGCUGAC
RNAcentral lists this non-coding RNA (24 nucleotides) under Gossypium hirsutum (cotton). The record is from RNAcentral. Lineage: Eukaryota; Viridiplantae; Streptophyta; Magnoliopsida; Malvales; Malvaceae.